RNAcentral lists this ribosomal RNA (449 nucleotides) under uncultured bacterium. Its description in RNAcentral is "partial 16S ribosomal RNA". It matches the Rfam family "Bacterial small subunit ribosomal RNA", at positions 29 to 523 of the family's 1533-position model. The record is from RNAcentral.
AACGAACGCUGGCGGCAUGCCUAACACAUGCAAGUCGAACGAGAUCUUCGGGUCUAGUGGCGCACGGGUGCGUAACGCGUGGGAAUCUGCCCUUUGGUUCGGAAUAACAGUUGGAAACGACUGCUAAUACCGGAUGAUGACGAAAGUCCAAAGAUUUAUCGCCAGAGGAUGAGCCCGCGUAGGAUUAGCUAGUUGGUGUGGUAAAGGCGCACCAAGGCGACGAUCCUUAGCUGGUCUGCGAAGAUGAUCAGCCACACUGGGACUGAGACACGGCCCAGACUCCUACGGGAGGCAGCAGUGGGGAAUAUUGGACAAUGGGCGAAAGCCUGAUCCAGCAAUGCCGCGUGAGUGAUGAAGGCCUUAGGGUUGUAAAGCUCUUUUACCCGGGAUGAUAAUGACAGUACCGGGAGAAUAAGCUCCGGCUAACUCCGUGCCAGCAGCCGCCGUAA